This 498-nucleotide ribosomal RNA is filed under the name uncultured bacterium. RNAcentral describes it as "bacterial SSU rRNA". It matches the Rfam family "Bacterial small subunit ribosomal RNA", at positions 10 to 507 of the family's 1533-position model. The record is from RNAcentral.
AGUUUGAUCCUGGCUCAGGAUUAACGCUGGCGGUAUGCCUAACACAUGCAAGUCGAACGGAAUACUAAUUAAGAGAAUCUCACACUAGUGAGAGGUUCUCACGAGUAGUAUUUAGUGGCGGACGGGUGAGUAACACGUUGGAACCUGCCCCGAAGUGGGGAAUAACUGCUCGAAAGAGUAGCUAAUACCCCAUAGUAUCCGGUUUAUCCGGAUUAAAGAUUUAUCGCUUCGGGAGGGGCCUGCGUCUGAUUAGCUUGUUGGUGAGGUAAAAGCUCACCAAGGCGACGAUCAGUAGCUGGUUCGAGAGGAUGACCAGCCACACUGGGACUGAGAUACGGCCCAGACUCCUACGGGAGGCAGCAGUGAGGAAUCUUCCACAAUGGACGAAAGUCUGAUGGAGCAAUACCGCGUGCAGGAAGACGCUUUUCGGAGUGUAAACUGCUUUUGUCGUCGAAGAUUAUGACUGUAGACGAAGAAUAAGGACCGGCUAACUACGUG